UACGUAGGGUGCGAGCGUUAAUCGGAAUUACUGGGCGUAAAGCGUGCGCAGGCGGUUCGUUAAGUCAGAUGUGAAAGCCCCGAGCUCAACUUGGGAACUGCAUUUGAAACUGGCGGGCUGGAGUGUGGCAGAGGGGGGUGGAAUUCCACGUGUAGCAGUGAAAUGCGUAGAGAUGUGGAGGAACACCGAUGGCGAAGGCAGCCCCCUGGGCCAACACUGACGCUCAGGCACGAAAGCGUGGGGAGCAAACAGG
RNAcentral lists this ribosomal RNA (253 nucleotides) under uncultured bacterium. Its description in RNAcentral is "partial 16S ribosomal RNA". It matches the Rfam family "Bacterial small subunit ribosomal RNA", at positions 524 to 776 of the family's 1533-position model. The record is from RNAcentral.